This 253-nucleotide ribosomal RNA is filed under the name Aulacoseira subarctica. RNAcentral's name for it is "partial Bacterial small subunit ribosomal RNA". It matches the Rfam family "Bacterial small subunit ribosomal RNA", at positions 521 to 773 of the family's 1533-position model. The record is from RNAcentral. Lineage: Eukaryota; Bacillariophyta; Melosirophyceae; Melosirales; Aulacoseiraceae.
UGAUACGUAGGGUGCGAGCGUUGUCCGGAUUUAUUGGGCGUAAAGGGCUCGUAGGUGGUUGAUCGCGUCGGAAGUGUAAUCUUGGGGCUUAACCCUGAGCGUGCUUUCGAUACGGGUUGACUUGAGGAAGGUAGGGGAGAAUGGAAUUCCUGGUGGAGCGGUGGAAUGCGCAGAUAUCAGGAGGAACACCAGUGGCGAAGGCGGUUCUCUGGGCCUUUCCUGACGCUGAGGAGCGAAAGCGUGGGGAGCGAAC